Molecule: ribosomal RNA, 429 nt
Filed under: bacterium
Lineage: Bacteria
Description: partial 16S ribosomal RNA
Rfam family: Bacterial small subunit ribosomal RNA
Source: RNAcentral
UAGGGAAUCUUCCACAAUGGACGCAAGUCUGAUGGAGCAACGCCGCGUGAGUGAAGAAGGUUUUCGGAUCGUAAAGCUCUGUUGUUGGUGAAGAAGGAUAGAGGCAGUAACUGGUCUUUAUUUGACGGUAAUCAACCAGAAAGUCACGGCUAACUACGUGCCAGCAGCCGCGGUAAUACGUAGGUGGCAAGCGUUGUCUGGAUUUAUUGGGCGUAAAGCGAGCGCAGGCGGAAUGAUAAGUCUGAUGUGAAAGCCCACGGCUCAACCGUGGAACUGCAUCGGAAACUGUCAUUCUUGAGUGCAGAAGAGGAGAGUGGAAUUCCAUGUGUAGCGGUGGAAUGCGUAGAUAUAUGGAAGAACACCAGUGGCGAAGGCGGCUCUCUGGUCUGCAACUGACGCUGAGGCUCGAAAGCAUGGGUAGCGAACAGG